AACCGGGCUUCGGCCCGGGGAUCAGUGGCGAACGGGUGCGUAACACGUGGGCAACCUGCCCCCGACCCUGGGAUAACCCCGGGAAACCGGAGCUAAUACCGGAUAUUCUCCUCCGACCACAUGGUCGGAAGAGGAAAGGUCCGCCGGUCGGGGAUGGGCCCGCGGCCUAUCAGCUUGUUGGUGGGGUAACGGCCUACCAAGGCGACGACGGAUAGCUGGUCUGAGAGGACGAUCAGCCACACUGGGACUGAGACACGGCCCAGACUCCUACGGGAGGCAGCAGUAGGGAAUCUUGCGCAAUGAGGGAAACCUUGACGCAGCGACGCCGCGUGCGGGAUGAAGGCCUUCGGG
RNAcentral lists this ribosomal RNA (351 nucleotides) under uncultured bacterium. RNAcentral's name for it is "bacterial SSU rRNA". It matches the Rfam family "Bacterial small subunit ribosomal RNA", at positions 71 to 422 of the family's 1533-position model. The record is from RNAcentral.